UUGAACGCUGGCGGCAUGCUUUACACAUGCAAGUCGAACGGCAGCACGGGGGCAACCCUGGUGGCGAGUGGCGAACGGGUGAGUAAUAUAUCGGAACAUAUCCGGGAGUGGGGGAUAACGUAGCGAAAGUUACGCUAAUACCGCAUAUGCCCUGAGGGGGAAAGUGGGGGAUCGCAAGACCUCACGCUUUCGGAGUGGCCGAUAUCGGAUUAGCUAGUUGGUGGGGUAAAGGCCCACCAAGGCGACGAUCCGUAGCUGGUCUGAGAGGACGACCAGCCACACUGGGACUGAGACACGGCCCAGACUCCUACGGGAGGCAGCAGUGGGGAAUUUUGGACAAUGGGGGCAACCCUGAUCCAGCCAUGCCGCGUGAGUGAAGAAGGCCUUCGGGUUGUAAAGCUCUUUCGGACGGAACGAAACGGUGGAGGCUAAUACCUUUCAUCAAUGACGGUACCUGAAGAAGAAGCACCGGCUAACUACGU
RNAcentral lists this ribosomal RNA (482 nucleotides) under uncultured bacterium. RNAcentral describes it as "bacterial SSU rRNA". It matches the Rfam family "Bacterial small subunit ribosomal RNA", at positions 30 to 506 of the family's 1533-position model. The record is from RNAcentral.